This 329-nucleotide unclassified non-coding RNA is filed under the name soil metagenome. Its description in RNAcentral is "partial contains 5.8S ribosomal RNA, internal transcribed spacer 2, and large subunit ribosomal RNA". The stretch from base 1 to 120 matches the Rfam family "5.8S ribosomal RNA", at positions 35 to 154 of the family's 154-position model. The record is from RNAcentral.
GAUGAAGAACGUAGCGAAAUGCGAUAAGUAGUGUGAAUUGCAGAAUUCAGUGAAUCAUCGAAUCUUUGAACGCACAUUGCGCCCCUUGGUAUUCCAUGGGGCAUGCCUGUUCGAGCGUCAUUUGUACCCUCAAGCUUUGCUUGGUGUUGGGCGUCUUGUCGUAUUACGACUCGCCUUAAAUACAUUGGCAGCCGGCACUUUGGCCUAGGAGCGCAGCACAUUUUGCGAUCGUAGCCCGUUGUACUGGCGUCCAUCAAGAACAUUUACCACGUUUGACCUCGGAUCAGGUAGGGAUACCCGCUGAACUUAAGCAUAUCAAUAAGCGAGGA